RNAcentral lists this ribosomal RNA (120 nucleotides) under uncultured bacterium. RNAcentral's name for it is "partial 16S ribosomal RNA". It matches the Rfam family "Bacterial small subunit ribosomal RNA", at positions 215 to 334 of the family's 1533-position model. The record is from RNAcentral.
UCGCCUGGGGAGGAGCCUGCGUCCGAUUAGCUUGUUGGUGGGGUAAAGGCCUACCAAGGCUCCGAUCGGUAGCUGGUCUGAGAGGAUGAUCAGCCACACUGGGACUGAGACACGGCCCAG